This 301-nucleotide ribosomal RNA is filed under the name uncultured bacterium. Its description in RNAcentral is "partial 16S ribosomal RNA". It matches the Rfam family "Bacterial small subunit ribosomal RNA", at positions 509 to 808 of the family's 1533-position model. The record is from RNAcentral.
CAGCAGCCGCGGUAAUACGUAGGGGGCAAGCGUUGUCCGGAAUUAUUGGGCGUAAAGCGCGCGCAGGCGGUCAUUUAAGUCUGGUGUUUAAUCCCGGGGCUCAACCCCGGAUCGCACUGGAAACUGGGUGACUUGAGUGCAGAAGAGGAGAGUGGAAUUCCACGUGUAGCGGUGAAAUGCGUAGAUAUGUGGAGGAACACCAGUGGCGAAGGCGACUCUCUGGGCUGUAACUGACGCUGAGGCGCGAAAGCGUGGGGAGCAAACAGGAUUAGAUACCCCGGUAGUCCCUGUCUCUUAUACA